GGUUAAGCGACUAAGCGUACACGGUGGAUGCCCUGGCAGUCAGAGGCGAUGAAGGACGUGCUAAUCUGCGAAAAGCGCCGGCGAGGUGAUAUGAACCCUUGACCCGGCGAUGUCCGAAUGGGGAAACCCAGUGUGUUCCGACACACUAUCGUUAACUGAAUACAUAGGUUAACGAGGCGAACCGGGGGAACUGAAACAUCUAAGUACCCCGAGGAAAAGAAAUCAACCGAGAUUCCCCCAGUAGCGGCGAGCGAACGGGGAGCAGCCCGGAGUCUGAAUCAGCUUGUGUGUUAGUGGAACGGUCUGGAAAGUCCGACGGUACAGGGUGAUAGUCCCGUACACGAAAAUGCACAUGCUGUGAACUCGAAGAGUAGGGCGGGACACGUGGUAUCCUGUCUGAAUAUGGGGGGACCAUCCUCCAAGGCUAAAUACUCCUGACUGACCGAUAGUGAACCAGUACCGUGAGGGAAAGGCGAAAAGAACCCCGGCGAGGGGAGUGAAAAAGAACCUGAAACCGUGUACGUACAAGCAGUGGGAGCACCUUCGGGUGUGACUGCGUACCUUUUGUAUAAUGGGUCAGCGACUUAUAUUCUGUAGCAAGGUUAACCGUAUAGGGGAGCCGAAGGGAAACCGAGUCUUAACUGGGCGUUAAGUUGCAGGGUAUAGACCCGAAACCCGGUGAUCUAGCCAUGGGCAGGUUGAAGGUUGGGUAACACUAACUGGAGGACCGAACCGACUAAUGUUGAAAAAUUAGCGGAUGACCUGUGGCUGGGGGUGAAAGGCCAAUCAAACCGGGAGAUAGCUGGUUCUCCCCGAAAGCUAUUUAGGUAGCGCCUCGUGAACUCAUCUUCGGGGGUAGAGCACUGUUUCGGCUAGGGGGCCAUCCCGGCUUACCAACCCGAUGCAAACUACGAAUACCGAAGAAUGUUAUCACGGGAGACACACGGCGGGUGCUAACGUCCGUCGUGAAGAGGGAAACAACCCAGACCGCCAGCUAAGGUCCCAAAGUCAUGGUUAAGUGGGAAACGAUGUGGGAAGGCACAGACAGCCAGGAUGUUGGCUUAGAAGCAGCCAUCAUUUAAAGAAAGCGUAAUAGCUCACUGGUCGAGUCGGCCUGCGCGGAAGAUGUAACGGGGCUAAACCAUGCACCGAAGCUGCGGCAGCGACGCUUAUGUGUUGUUGGGUAGGGGAGCGUUCUGUAAGCCGUUGAAGGUGUGCUGUGAGGCAUGCUGGAGGUAUCAGAAGUGCGAAUGCUGACAUAAGUAACGAUAAAGCGGGUGAAAAGCCCGCUCGCCGGAAGACCAAGGGUUCCUGUCCAACGUUAAUCGGGGCAGGGUGAGUCGACCCCUAAGGCGAGGCCGAAAGGCGUAGUCGAUGGGAAACAGGUUAAUAUUCCUGUACUUGGUGUUACUGCGAAGGGGGGACGGAGAAGGCUAUGUCAGCCGGGCGACGGUUGUCCCGGUUUAAGCAUGUAGGCGGAGGUUCCAGGUAAAUCCGGUACCUUAUUAACGCUGAGGUGUGAUGACGAGGCACUACGGUGCUGAAGUGAUAAAUGCCCUGCUUCCAGGAAAAGCCUCUAAGCAUCAGGUAACACGAAAUCGUACCCCAAACCGACACAGGUGGUCAGGUAGAGAAUACCAAGGCGCUUGAGAGAACUCGGGUGAAGGAACUAGGCAAAAUGGUGCCGUAACUUCGGGAGAAGGCACGCUGAUAUGUAGGUGAAGCCCCUGCGGGCGGAGCUGAAAUCAGUCGAAGAUACCAGCUGGCUGCAACUGUUUAUUAAAAACACAGCACUGUGCAAACACGAAAGUGGACGUAUACGGUGUGACGCCUGCCCGGUGCCGGAAGGUUAAUUGAUGGGGUUAGCGGCAACGCGAAGCUCUUGAUCGAAGCCCCGGUAAACGGCGGCCGUAACUAUAACGGUCCUAAGGUAGCGAAAUUCCUUGUCGGGUAAGUUCCGACCUGCACGAAUGGCGUAAUGAUGGCCAGGCUGUCUCCACCCGAGACUCAGUGAAAUUGAACUCGCUGUGAAGAUGCAGUGUACCCGCGGCAAGACGGAAAGACCCCGUGAACCUUUACUAUAGCUUGACACUGAACACUGGUCCUUGAUGUGUAGGAUAGGUGGGAGGCUUUGAAGCGUGGACGCCAGUCUGCGUGGAGCCGCCCUUGAAAUACCACCCUUUAAUGGCUGGUGUUCUAACGUAGACCCGUGAUCCGGGUUGCGGACAGUGUCUGGUGGGUAGUUUGACUGGGGCGGUCUCCUCCCAAAGAGUAACGGAGGAGCACGAAGGUUGGCUAAUCCUGGUCGGACAUCAGGAGGUUAGUGCAAUGGCAUAAGCCAGCUUGACUGCGAGCGUGACGGCGCGAGCAGGUGCGAAAGCAGGUCAUAGUGAUCCGGUGGUUCUGAAUGGAAGGGCCAUCGCUCAACGGAUAAAAGGUACUCCGGGGAUAACAGGCUGAUACCGCCCAAGAGUUCAUAUCGACGGCGGUGUUUGGCACCUCGAUGUCGGCUCAUCACAUCCUGGGGCUGAAGUAGGUCCCAAGGGUAUGGCUGUUCGCCAUUUAAAGUGGUACGCGAGCUGGGUUUAGAACGUCGUGAGACAGUUCGGUCCCUAUCUGCCGUGGGCGCUGGAGAAUUGAGGGGGGCUGCUCCUAGUACGAGAGGACCGGAGUGGACGCAUCACUGGUGUUCGGGUUGUCAUGCCAAUGGCACUGCCCGGUAGCUAAAUGCGGAAGAGAUAAGUGCUGAAAGCAUCUAAGCACGAAACUUGCCCCGAGAUGAGUUCUCCCUGAGACCUUGAGUCUCCUGAAGGAACGUUGAAGACGACGACGUUGAUAGGUCGGGUGUGUAAGCGCAGCGAUGCGUUGAGCUAACCGAUACUAAU
Molecule: ribosomal RNA, 2885 nt
Filed under: Enterobacter hormaechei
Lineage: Bacteria; Pseudomonadati; Pseudomonadota; Gammaproteobacteria; Enterobacterales; Enterobacteriaceae
Description: partial 23S ribosomal RNA
Rfam family: Bacterial large subunit ribosomal RNA
Source: RNAcentral